CCUGGAAUCGGCUUGAACUUCUCCUCUCCCAUCACCCCGCCUUUUUUUUCCACCCAGCUCCACCUCCACAACCCUCUCUCUCUCUUUCUCUCCUCGCCGGCUGGUCACCGGAAACCCUCAUUUUCCGACCGCCCCUACCCCCUUCCCCCACUCGUUCCUCUUCCUAUUGCACCCACACUCCUCAUUUCAUUUCAAUUUCAACGCUUAGGUAGCGUCCGGGAAAGAUAAACAAAUAUAUAUAUAAACAUGUCAAGCCUCGGUGGUUCUUAUCGAAGGAGCGCUUCCUUGUCCAAUAGCCCCACGCGCUCCAAGAAGAAACCUUCUGAUUAUUCACCGCUAGACUUAACUACUCGUAAAACGUUUUCCUCAUUACGCACCACGGGAGAGAGAACUGUGAAAACAUUGCGGCUUUCAAAGGCAUUGACAGUUCCUGAAACAACAUCUGUCUAUGAAGCUUGCCGUAGGAUGGCUGCUCGCAAAGUAGAUGCUCUAUUACUAACUGAUUCUAAUGCUUUGCUCUGUGGAAUCCUCACAGACAAGGACAUAGCAACAAGAGUUAUUGCCCGAGAGCUUAAUCUCGAAGAAACACCUGCUUCCAAGGUUAUGACAAGGAAUCCUGUAUUUGUCCUUUCUGACACUCUUGCUGUGGAAGCCCUCCAAAAGAUGGUGCAAGGGAGGUUCAGACAUUUACCUGUGGUGGAGAAUGGAGAAGUUGUAGCCAUACUUGACAUAGCUAAGUGUUUGUAUGAUGCCAUUGCCCGUAUGGAAAGAGCAGCUGAGAAAGGAAAGGCAAUUGCCGCAGCUGUUGAAGGUAUCGAAAAACACUGGGGAACAUCUGCUCCUGGCUCCAAUUCGUCAUUCAUUGAGACUCUUCGCGAGCAGAUAUUUAAGCCAUCUUUGUCUACAAUUAUUCCUGAGAAUUCAAAGGUUGUAACAGUUUCCCCAACAGACUCAGUUUUGACGACGACAAAGAAGAUGCUAGAACUUCGUGUAAGUUGUGCUGUUGUGGCAGUUGACGACAAACCUUGUGGUAUUCUUACUUCAAAAGAUAUAUUGAUGCGGGUAAUAGCACAAAGUCUUCCUCCAUCGUCAACUCUUGUUCAGAAGGUCAUGACUCCAAAUCCAGAAUGUGCAAUAAUUGACACACCAAUUGUCGACGCACUUCACACUAUGCAUGAUGGAAAAUUUUUGCAUCUUCCAGUGGUUGAUAGAGAUGGCAUUGUUGUUGCUACGGUUGAUGUGAUUCAUAUCACUCAUGCGGCAGUGGCGACAGCUAGUCAGGUGGGAAAUACUGCCAAUUUUAACAAUGAAGCUGCCAACUCCAUGAUGCAAAAAUUUUGGGAUUCGGCCAUGGCCUUAACUGCAAAUGAUGAGGAUGACGAUUCACAAAGGUUACAUAUCGACAGUUCCUUGAAAAUGAUUUCUGAGGGAGGAGAAACAGGGAGAUCCAUGUCUUAUCUUGGGUCAAGCAUGCAGAACGCAUUUUCCUUCAAAUUACAAGACAGGAAGGGUAGAUUGCAUAGGUUCACAUGCGAUACUCGGAGCUUGGCAGAGGUUAUAACUUCCAUCGUUCAGAGAGUCGGUGAUGAUAUUGACCCCAAGAACCUGCCCCAGAUUUUGUAUGAAGAUGAAGAACAUGAUAAAGUUGUACUGGCUUCAGACAAUGAUCUUACUGCAGCUGUGGACCACGCGAAGACGGCUGGUUUAAAGGGAUUGAGAUUGCAUUUAGACUACUCUGGAACACGAGAUUAUGGAACUGAUUCAAGUCCAGAAAGUUUGAGCUAUGCUAAUCCAGAAGCAUGGGGCACGACACACAAUGCCAUUGCUGCUGGAGCUGCAAUUAUGGCUGCCUUAGGCCUAUUGGCGUUUGUGAGGCGAAGCCAUUGAUAGGAAGAAGCGAGUUUUUGAUGGGGGUAGAGGACAAAACUGAAGUCAGUUGGAACUUUGGAGGGCAUAUUUUUAGCACUUGCCAAUCAGUAUCGGAUCGAACCGGAGGGAGGAUCCCAAUGUCGUGGGCCUGGAUUAGGCAUGAGCCGAGUUGGGCUUGGUGAAGAGCUGAACCUGAAGGUGCAUGGACGAACGCAUAUCCGAAAAGAAGGUUAGUUUCGCUCCAAAGCUCAAUGGCUAUAAUGACAAAGGUACCUUGGAGGUUUUAAAGAAGGUGUUGUUGUUCGCAAAGACACUAAUGUCAAACAUGAAUAAUGGCGAUGAGUUCUCCAUGUCGCGAUAUUGCACAUUGUUUCAGAGCUUGGAGCUUGAUGAUGACAACAAUGAAGGCAUCUCAAAGGGUUUGAAGGAGUUGGCGUUGUUUGUGAAGACGUUGACUUAUUCAGACGCAAACAAUGGUGGGUUCUUCAUGCCAUAGAAGGACCUUAAGCCUUUAGCCCUAAACUCCUAACACUUCUUCUCUGGUGACGUUGGCUCCAACAACAACAAACCUUAACUCUAACGAUGAUCACAACAUUGAUGUCGAUGAUCGCACAACACUCCUCCUCGUCAUUAGUCCUGACUCGGAGCAUUGUGGGAAGCUAUCGGCAAAGGUCAAUGCGAAUCUACACCACCAUGAUCGAAGAAGCGAUUUCGUAGCACUACACAUGAUCACAAGUACGUGUGACAAAAGUUUUUUAGAUCUUGGCUCAAAUUCGUUAAGCGACCUCAACUCAUAACACUCUAUGCAAGGACGGAGCCAAGGGGGGACCUACGGGUGCCACGGCCCCCCCAACA
Non-coding RNA from Cajanus cajan (pigeon pea), 2724 nucleotides. The record is from RefSeq and is a predicted model, not a curated record. Lineage: Eukaryota; Viridiplantae; Streptophyta; Magnoliopsida; Fabales; Fabaceae.